CAGGAGAGUAAUAUUUCCUUUCCCUUGUCCUUAGGAGCUCUCUGGGGAGGUUUGGAGGUGUAUUCAGCAACAGGACCAGAAGCAAUGGGUAUGAAAAUGAAACCACAAGUUCCACCUCACUGUGAGGAAGAAUUGCUUGGCAUCAAUCCAGGAGGGUGUGGAGUCUUCCCUGCCUGGAGACAUCCCAAUCCCACCUGGAAGAUCCUGAAUGGACUGCAUGGUCUCCAGAGCUCCUUUCCAAUCCCAGCUGCCCUGUGAGUGUGCCUCAAGAGUAUCUGGCCCUGCCAGGGAGUGCCUGUCCUGCAGUAACCUCAGCUGGGAUGUUUUGCCCACAGCAGGGGAACACACAGGUGGAAACUCAAACUGUCUGUGGACUGGAGAUGUACAAAUUUACAGAUUCCUUCCUGUCUCCUUCUAUGGGAGAGUUUUGGCCUCGAUAUCUUCUGCACUUGUCACCUCCCCUCCAGUUCUCCCAGUAAAAGCCCUCCAUGACCAAAGGCACCAAGGAUUUAUUUCCUUUGUGCUCAGACUGAGCCCACCCUCUGUGGGAGGACAUCUCUGACAACCUGUGGAGGCACAGGCCCGGAUUAACCAGCUGCUUUUGGGGUGAACUCCUCCAAUUAAGGAGGAACUCAGACAAAGGACAGAUGACAAAAGAGAUUUCUAUAUGGAAAUGAGAACCACAUGACAUGGAAAAGCUUAUCCACUGUAAUAAACUAAAGCAGAGCUCA
Molecule: long non-coding RNA, 731 nt
Organism: Parus major (Great Tit)
Lineage: Eukaryota; Metazoa; Chordata; Aves; Passeriformes; Paridae
Exons: 2
Source: RefSeq, a predicted model, not a curated record